UGGGGAAUAUUGGACAAUGGGCGAAAGCCUGAUCCAGCCAUGCCGCGUGUGCGAAGAAGGCCCUCGGGUUGUAAAGCACUUUCAGCGAGGAAGAACGCCUAGCGGUUAAUCCCCGUUAGGAAAGACAUCACUUCCAGAAGAAGCACCGGCUAACUCCGUGCCAGCAGCCGCGGUAAUACGGAGGGUGCAAGCGUUAAUCGGAAUUACUGGGCGUAAAGCGCGCGUAGCAGGCUUGAUAAGCCGGUUGUGAAAGCCCCGGGCUCAACCUGGGAGCGGCAUCCGGAACUGUCAAGCUAGAGUGCAGGAGAGGAAGGUAGAAUUCCCGGUGUAGCGGUGAAAUUCGUAGAGAUCGGGAGGAAUACCAGUGGCGAAGGCGGCCUUCGGGACUGACACUGACACUGAGGUGCGAAGGCGUGGGUAGCAACCA
RNAcentral lists this ribosomal RNA (427 nucleotides) under uncultured Halomonas sp. Its description in RNAcentral is "bacterial SSU rRNA". It matches the Rfam family "Bacterial small subunit ribosomal RNA", at positions 355 to 774 of the family's 1533-position model. Lineage: Bacteria; Pseudomonadati; Pseudomonadota; Gammaproteobacteria; Oceanospirillales; Halomonadaceae. The record is from RNAcentral.